UGGGGGAUAUUGCACAAUGGGGGAAACCCUGAUGCAGCGACGCCGCGUGAGGGAUGACGGCCUUCGGGUUGUAAACCUCUUUCAGUUGGGAAGAAGCCCUUCGGGGUGACGGUACCUUCAGAAGAAGCACCGGCUAACUACGUGCCAGCAGCCGCGGUAAUACGUAGGGUGCGAGCGUUAUCCGGAAUUAUUGGGCGUAAAGAGCUCGUAGGCGGUUUGUCACGUCUGCUGUGAAAGCCCUGGGCUUAACCCUGGGUUUGCAGUGGGUACGGGCAGGCUGGAGUGCAGUAGGGGAGACUGGAAUUCCUGGUGUAGCGGUGAAAUGCGCAGAUAUCAGGAGGAACACCGAUGGCGAAGGCAGGUCUCUGGGCUGUUACUGACGCUGAGGAGCGAAAGCAUGGGGAGCGAACAGG
Molecule: ribosomal RNA, 413 nt
Filed under: uncultured bacterium
Lineage: Bacteria
Description: bacterial SSU rRNA
Rfam family: Bacterial small subunit ribosomal RNA
Source: RNAcentral